GAUGAACGCUAGCGGCAGGCUUAACACAUGCAAGUCGAGGGGCAGCGGGGUCUUCGGACCGCCGGCGACCGGCGCACGGGUGCGUAACGCGUAUGCAACCUACCUUUCACACGGGGAUAAUCCGGAGAAAUCUGGUCUAAUACCCCAUAACACAUUUUACGGCAUCGUAGAUUGUUGAAAUUUUCGGAGGUGAAAGAUGGGCAUGCGUGACAUUAGCUAGAUGGUGAGGUAACGGCUCACCAUGGCAACGAUGUCUAGGGGGACUGAGAGGUUGACCCCGCACACUGGUACUGAGACACGGGCCAGACUCCUACGGGAGGCAGAAGUGAGGAAGAUUGGUCAAUGGGCGAGAGCCUGAACCAGCCAAGUAGCGUGAAGGAUGACUGCCCUAUGGGUUGUAAACUUCUUUUGUAUGGGAAUAAAUGACAUUACGUGUAGUGUUUUGUAUGUACCAUGAUGAAUAAGCAUCGGCUAACUCCGUGCCAGCAGCCGCAGU
This 496-nucleotide ribosomal RNA is filed under the name uncultured bacterium. RNAcentral describes it as "bacterial SSU rRNA". It matches the Rfam family "Bacterial small subunit ribosomal RNA", at positions 28 to 521 of the family's 1533-position model. The record is from RNAcentral.